GUCCGUCGUGAAGAGGGAAACAACCCAGACCGCCAGCUAAGGUCCCAAAGUCAUGGUUAAGUGGGAAACGAUGUGGGAAGGCCCAGACAGCCAGGAUGUUGGCUUAGAAGCAGCCAUCAUUUAAAGAAAGCGUAAUAGCUCACUGGUCGAGUCGGCCUGCGCGGAAGAUGUAACGGGGCUAAACCAUGCACCGAAGCUGCGGCAGCGAACGUAUCACUUAAAGCGAUUCAGCGGGUUACGAUUGACGGAGCGAAGCGACGUCAAAGCGUAUACAAAGUCGAGUCGGUUUAAGGAUACGUUCGUUGGGUAGGGGAGCGUUCUGUAAGCCUGCGAAGGUGGCCUGUGAGGGUUGCUGGAGGUAUCAGAAGUGCGAAUGCUGACAUAAGUAACGAUAAAGCGGGUGAAAAGCCCGCUCGCCGGAAGACCAAGGGUUCCUGUCCAACGUUAAUCGGGGCAGGGUGAGUCGACCCCUAAGGCGAGGCCGAAAGGCGUAGUCGAUGGGAAACGGGUUAAUAUUCCCGUACU
Molecule: ribosomal RNA, 525 nt
Filed under: Salmonella enterica
Lineage: Bacteria; Pseudomonadati; Pseudomonadota; Gammaproteobacteria; Enterobacterales; Enterobacteriaceae
Description: partial 23S ribosomal RNA
Rfam family: Bacterial large subunit ribosomal RNA
Source: RNAcentral